RNAcentral lists this long non-coding RNA (992 nucleotides) under Salmo salar (Atlantic salmon). RNAcentral describes it as "lncRNA (ENSSSAG00000092138.1)". Lineage: Eukaryota; Metazoa; Chordata; Actinopteri; Salmoniformes; Salmonidae. The record is from RNAcentral.
UAAUAUCAGAACAUCAGACAUGUUAAUAUGUGUUGUAGUGGUUUAAUAAUAUCAGAACAUCGGACAUGUUAAUAUGUGUUGUAGUGGUUUAAUAAUAUCAGAACAUCAGACAUGUUAAUAUGUGUUGUAGUGGUUUAAUAAUAUCAGAAUAUCAGACAUGUUAAUAUGUGGAUGGGCAUUACUCUGGAUCAGAAGGUUGGGUUUUGGUUGGGGAGAUGGAUGGGCAUUACUCUGGAUCAGAAGGUUGGGUUUUGGUUGGGGAGGUGGAUGGGCAUUACUCUGGAUCAGAAGGUUGGGUUUUGGUUGGGGAGGUGGAUGGGCAUUACUCUGGAUCAGAAGGUUGGGUUUUGGUUGGGGAGGUGGAUGGGCAUUACUCUGGAUCAGAAGGUUGGGUUUUGGUUGGGGAGGUUGAUGGGCAUUACUCUGGAUCAGAAGGUUGGGUUUUGGGUUGGGGAGAUGGAUGGGCAUUACUCUGGAUCAGAAGGUUGGGUUUUGGUUGGGGAGGUGGAUGGGCAUUACUCUGGAUCAGAAGGUUGGGUUUUGGUUGGGGAGGUGGAUGGGCAUUACUCUGGAUCAGAAGGUUGGGUUUUGGUUGGGGAGGUUGAUGGGCAUUACUCUGGAUCAGAAGGUUGGGUUUUGGUUGGGGAGGUUGAUGGGCAUUACUCUGGAUCAGAAGGUUGGGUUUUGGUUGGGGAGGUGGAUGGGCAUUACUCUGGAUCAGAAGGUUGGGUGUCUGAUCCCAGUAUUUUUUAAUUUAUACUGAACAAAAAUAUAACGCAACAUGCAACAAUAUCAAAGAUUUUACUGAGUUACAGUUCAUAGAAGGAAAUCCAUCAGUUGAAAUAAAUAAAUGAGGUCCUAAUCUAUGGAUUUCACAUGACUGGGCAGGGGCUCAGCAAUGAGUGGCCCCUGGGAGGGCAUAGGCCCACCCACUUGGGAGCCGGGUCUACCCACUGGGGAGGCAUUCCCAGCCAAUCAGAAUUAUUUUUCCC